AGUGGCGGACGGGUGAGUAACGCGUGGGUAACCUACCUCAUACAGGGGGAUAACAGUUGGAAACGACUGACUAACACCGCAUAACAAGUUGGGACCGCAUGAUCCUAACUUCAAAUAGUUUAUAGGUAUGAGAUGGGCCCGCGUCUGAUUAGCUAGUUGGUGGGGUAAUGGCCUACCAAGGCGACGAUCAGUAGCCGGCUUGAGAGAGUGACCGGCCACAUUGGGACUGAGACACGGCCCAAACUCCUACGGGAGGCAGCAGUGGGGAAUAUUGGACAAUGGGGGCAACCCUGAUCCAGCGACGCCCGCGUGAGUGAAGAAGUAUUUCGGUAUGUAAAGCUCUAUACAGCAGGGAAGAUAAAUGACAGUACCUGACUAAGAAGCCCCGGCCUAACUACGUGCCAGCAGCUGC
RNAcentral lists this ribosomal RNA (412 nucleotides) under uncultured bacterium. RNAcentral's name for it is "bacterial SSU rRNA". It matches the Rfam family "Bacterial small subunit ribosomal RNA", at positions 94 to 518 of the family's 1533-position model. The record is from RNAcentral.